RNAcentral lists this ribosomal RNA (484 nucleotides) under uncultured bacterium. Its description in RNAcentral is "partial 16S ribosomal RNA". It matches the Rfam family "Bacterial small subunit ribosomal RNA", at positions 28 to 523 of the family's 1533-position model. The record is from RNAcentral.
GAUGAACGCUGGCGGCGUGCUUAACACAUGCAAGUCGAACGGUGAAGCAGGAGCUUGCUCUUGUGGAUCAGUGGCGAACGGGUGAGUAACACGUGAGCAACCUGCCCCUGACUCUGGGAUAAGCGCUGGAAACGGCGUCUAAUACUGGAUAUGUGAUGUGACCGCAUGGUCUGCAUCUGGAAAGAAUUUCGGUUGGGGAUGGGCUCGCGGCCUAUCAGCUUGUUGGUGAGGUAAUGGCUCACCAAGGCGUCGACGGUUAGCCGGCCUGAGAGGGGGACCGGCCCACCUGGGACUGAGACACGGCCCAGACUCCUACGGGGGGCAGCAGUGGGGAAUAUUGCACAAUGGGCGGAAGCCUGAUGCAGCAGCGCCGCGUGAGGGAUGACGGCCUUCGGGUUGUAAACCUCUUUUAGCAGGGAAGAAGCGAAAGUGACGGUACCUGCAGAAAAAGCACCGGCUAACUACGUGCCAGCAGCCGCCGUAA